RNAcentral lists this non-coding RNA (28 nucleotides) under Rattus norvegicus (Norway rat). Lineage: Eukaryota; Metazoa; Chordata; Mammalia; Rodentia; Muridae. The record is from RNAcentral.
UGGCAGUGUCUGUUGACUAGGGCCCAAU